UACGUAGGGGCAAGCGUUACUCGGAUUCACUGGGCGUAAAGCGCGUGUAGGCGGCUGGUCAAGCGUGGUGUGAAAUCUCCGGGCUCAACCCGGAAACUGCACCGCGAACUGGCCUGGCUGGAGUGCAGGAGAGGGAAGGGAAUUCCGGUGUAGCGGUGAAAUGCGUAGAUAUCGGGAGGAACACCGGUGGCGAAGGCGGUUCUCUGGGCCUGUACUGACGCUGAGGAGCGAAAGCGUGGGGAGCGAACAGG
This 251-nucleotide ribosomal RNA is filed under the name uncultured bacterium. Its description in RNAcentral is "partial 16S ribosomal RNA". It matches the Rfam family "Bacterial small subunit ribosomal RNA", at positions 524 to 776 of the family's 1533-position model. The record is from RNAcentral.